AGCACUAAGUCACUUUGUCUUUAUGGCAAAUGUGAGAUGCAGUGUAUGGAAUGUCAAAUUUCUAGUAUGAGAAAUUAACGAUUUAAGUCCUUCUUAAAUGAGGCCAUUUACCCAAAGAGGGUGCCAGGCCCGUAUAACGUUAAUGAUUACUAGAUGGCAUUUCCAAAGAGUCGUGUUGCUUGAUAGUGCAGCACUAAGUGGGUGGUAAACUCCAUCUAAAACUAAAUAUAACCAUGAGACCGAUAGUAAACAAGUACCGUGAGGGAAAGUUGAAAAGAACUCUGAAUAGAGAGUUAAAUAGUACGUGAAACUGCUUAGAGGUUAAGCCCGAUGAACCUGAAUAUCCGUUAUGGAAAAUUCAUCAUUAUGAUUUUAAUAUUUAUAAUAUUAUAAUAAUGGUGUGCAUUUUUUCUAUAAAGGACAUUGUAAUCUAUUAACAUAAAUUAAUUUAUCAUAAGAUCAUUUGCGUAAGUUUAUUCAAAUUAUUUUGCUUGCAUUUUAAUAUCGAAUAAAUGCUUUUGAUUUGAUAAAGUGUUGAUAGAUUUAUUAUAUACAGUGCUUAAAUAUUUAUAUUUUAUAAUAGCAUAUUAAUCAAUGAUUUUUAUGUUCAUUAUAUGCACUUGUAUGAUUAACAAUGCGAAAGAUUCAGGAUACCUUCGGGACCCGUCUUGAAACACGGACCAAGGAGUCUAACAUAUUUGCAAGUUAUUGGGAAUAAAAACCUAAUAGCGAAAUUAACAUAACUUAUUUAAUGGGAUUAGUUUUUAGCCUAUUUAUAGUCUAUUAAUUCAAUCCCGGGGCGUUCUAUACAGUUAUGUAUAAUAAUAUUUAUAUUAUUUAUACCUCUAACUAGAGCGUACCUUGAGCAUAUAUGCUGUGACCCGAAAGAUGGUGAACUAUACUUGAUCAGGUUGAAGUCAGGGGAAACCCUG
This 932-nucleotide ribosomal RNA is filed under the name Lucilia caesar. Its description in RNAcentral is "eukaryotic LSU rRNA". It matches the Rfam family "Eukaryotic large subunit ribosomal RNA", at positions 111 to 866 of the family's 3401-position model. Lineage: Eukaryota; Metazoa; Arthropoda; Insecta; Diptera; Calliphoridae. The record is from RNAcentral.